CCGCGUCUUCCUGCUCAGCUCUCGUACCGCGUGCCGCCAUUGGAUUGGACCUUCAGUAACUCUUAGUUCGACAUUAGAAGCAGUACCUGCAGUGUCCACAUUUUUACAGGGAAGAAUUAGUUUCAGAGUAUUACACUGGUUGCGAGUGCUGAUAGUGGGUGCUGAAUCACCGAUUGUCAACAAUUGACAGAAAGUUUAUGGCAAGAGGCAAAGACACUGCCAGAAUGGGUAAGCAAAAGAACAAGAGACCCCCAAGUGACAAAAGUGAAUCCGAUUCAGAUUCAAGCUCUGAAGCUAAAUAUGAACCACCACCAAAGAUGCCAAAAUCAGGUGCCUCA
RNAcentral lists this unclassified non-coding RNA (338 nucleotides) under Homarus americanus (American lobster). RNAcentral's name for it is "rNA polymerase II transcriptional coactivator-like, transcript variant X1". Lineage: Eukaryota; Metazoa; Arthropoda; Malacostraca; Decapoda; Nephropidae. The record is from RNAcentral.